Molecule: ribosomal RNA, 496 nt
Filed under: uncultured bacterium
Lineage: Bacteria
Description: partial 16S ribosomal RNA
Rfam family: Bacterial small subunit ribosomal RNA
Source: RNAcentral
GAUGAACGCUAGCGGCAGGCCUAACACAUGCAAGUCGAGGGGUAGAGGUUGCUUGCAACCUAGAGACCGGCGCACGGGUGCGUAACGCGUAUGCAAUCUGCCUUGUACUGAGGGAUAGCCCAGAGAAAUUUGGAUUAAUACCUCAUAGUAUCUUUUCCCGGCAUCGGGAGAUUAUUAAAGUUCCAACGGUACAAGAUGAGCAUGCGUCCCAUUAGCUAGUUGGUAUGGUAACGGCAUACCAAGGCAAUGAUGGGUAGGGGUCCUGAGAGGGAGAUCCCCCACACUGGUACUGAGACACGGACCAGACUCCUACGGGAGGCAGCAGCGAGGAAUAUUGGUCAAUGGGCGCAAGCCUGAACCAGCCAUGCCGCGUGCAGGAUGAAGCAUCCAUGGUGUGUAAACUGCUUUUAUACGGGAAGAAACACCGGUUCGUGAACCGGCUUGACGGUACCGUAAGAAUAAGGAUCGGCUAACUCCGUGCCAGCAGCCGCGGUAA